Molecule: small nuclear RNA, 19 nt
Filed under: Arabidopsis thaliana (thale cress)
Lineage: Eukaryota; Viridiplantae; Streptophyta; Magnoliopsida; Brassicales; Brassicaceae
Description: snRNA_09863
Source: RNAcentral
GGGGUCCCAGUUCCGAACC